AGCAAGGUGGCUGAUUUUAGGCCUUAAACUGUAAAUUUAAUUACGAGGUUUCCUCUCUUGUUA
This 63-nucleotide transfer RNA is filed under the name Cryptopygus antarcticus. RNAcentral's name for it is "tRNA-Tyr". The record is from RNAcentral. Lineage: Eukaryota; Metazoa; Arthropoda; Collembola; Entomobryomorpha; Isotomidae.